Pelobates cultripes (western spadefoot toad) is the source of this 1371-nucleotide non-coding RNA. NCBI's taxonomy places the organism in Eukaryota, Metazoa, Chordata, Amphibia, Anura, Pelobatidae. The record is from the annotation of a GenBank genome assembly.
ACUAAUGCAAUUUAUUAUAACUUCUAUAAAUGUUUGUAUUGCAAAUAUACACAGCUCCAUUACUUUUAUUUCAAAGCCAAAAAGCCAGAAGAAAAAAAAAUAAAAAAAAUAAAAUGAUUUUGGGAGCUAUACCAGAGCUUAUAUACAAAACAAUCAUCAGUCCUGAUUUUGUUAUUAUAGUCUUUGGGAACUUAAAAUUUACGCAAACACAUGCACCUAAACCAGUAAAGUACACUUACUACAAUGCAGUAAUUACUUGUUUUGUUUUGAAUGAAUCCUUUGAUGCAUUACAAAAUUUGAGCUAUUGGCAAAACAUUUACCACAAUAAGCACAUAAAAACGGUUUCUCGCCUGUGUGAAUCCUCUGGUGAGUAACAAGAUAUGACUUAAUCGCAAAACAUUUUCCACAUUCAGAACAUACAAAUGGUUUUAUUUCAGCAUGUAUUCUCUGAUGCUUAGCAAGAUUUCCAUUGCUGCUAAAGGACUUCCCACAUACUGAACAUGAGAAUGGCUUCUCCCCUGUGUGAAUUCGCUGGUGUAUGAUCAGAGGAAAAUUAGCACUAAAACAUUUCCCACACUGUGCACAAGAAAAUGGUUUCUCUCCUGUGUGAACCUUUUGAUGAGUAACAAGAUAAGAAUUACUUCUAAAACAUUUUCCACAUUCUGUACACUGAAACGGCUUCUCUCCUGUGUGAAUUCUCUGAUGUUUAACAAGAUCCGACUUGCUGGUAAACCAUCUUCCACAUUCUGAACAGCCAAAAGGUUUUUCACCAGUGUGAAUUCUCUCAUGGGCAAGAAGAUGGGCACUUAUUGCAAAACACUUUCCACACUCAGAACAUGAAAAUGGUUUCUCUCCAGUAUGACUCCGCUGAUGCGUCACAAGCCUUGAUCUGCAAGAGAAAUCUUUUCCGCACUCUGUACAAGAGAAUGCUCCAACUCCCGUGUGAAUUGUCUGAUGUUUCACAAGUUCAGUGUUACGGAGAAAACUUUGUUUGCAUACAGAACAUACAAAUGGUCUUUCUCUUGUGUGAAUAUUUUGAUGUGUUAUUAGAUUUGAGCUAUUUGCAAAACGUUUCCCACAUUCAGAACAUGCAAAAGGCUUCUCUCCUGUAUGAAUUCUCUGAUGUUUAACAAGGUCUGACUUUGUUAUAAAGCAUUUUCUACAAAACAAACAUAGAAAUGGUCUUUCUCCAGUAUGAAUUCUCUUAUGUGAAAGAAGAUGUGAACUAAUUGCAAAGCAUUUCCCACAUUCAGAGCAUGCAAAUGGUUUCUCUCCAGUAUGAGUUCUCUGAUGAAUGAGAAAUUGUGAUUGUGUAUAGAACAACUUUCCACAUUCCAUACAUGGAAACAGGUUCUCCUCAGUAUGAGUUUC